This 492-nucleotide ribosomal RNA is filed under the name uncultured bacterium. RNAcentral's name for it is "partial 16S ribosomal RNA". It matches the Rfam family "Bacterial small subunit ribosomal RNA", at positions 29 to 507 of the family's 1533-position model. The record is from RNAcentral.
AGUGAACGCUGGCGGUAGGCCUAACACAUGCAAGUCGAACGGCAGCACAGUAAGAGCUUGCUCUUACGGGUGGCGAGUGGCGGACGGGUGAGGAAUACAUCGGAAUCUACUUUUUCGUGGGGGAUAACGUAGGGAAACUUACGCUAAUACCGCAUACGACCUACGGGUGAAAGCAGGGGAUCUUCGGACCUUGCGCGAUUGAAUGAGCCGAUGUCGGAUUAGCUAGUUGGCGGGGUAAAGGCCCACCAAGGCGACGAUCCGUAGCUGGUCUGAGAGGAUGAUCCGCCACCCUCGAACUGCGACACAGUCCGGCCUCCUACGGGAGGCAGCAGUGGGGAAUCUUGGACAAUGGGCGCAAGCCUGAUCCAGCCAUACCGCGUGGGUGAAGCAGGCCUUCGGGUUGUAAAGCCCUUUUGUUGGGAAAGAAAAGCAGCAGGUUAAUACCCCGCUGUUCUGACGGUACCCAAAGAAUAAGCACCGGCUAACUUCGUG